This 723-nucleotide ribosomal RNA is filed under the name uncultured Serratia sp. Its description in RNAcentral is "bacterial SSU rRNA". It matches the Rfam family "Bacterial small subunit ribosomal RNA", at positions 771 to 1494 of the family's 1533-position model. Lineage: Bacteria; Pseudomonadati; Pseudomonadota; Gammaproteobacteria; Enterobacterales; Yersiniaceae. The record is from RNAcentral.
AACCGGAUUAGAUACCCUGGUAGUCCACGCUGUAAACGAUGCCGAUUUGGAGGGUUGUGCCCUUGAGGCGUGGCUUCCGGAGCUAACGCGUUAAAUCGACCGCCUGGGGAGUACGGCCGCAAGGUUAAAACUCAAAUGAAUUGACGGGGGCCCGCACAAGCGGUGGAGCAUGUGGUUUAAUUCGAUGCAACGCGAAGAACCUUACCUACUCUUGACAUCCAGAGAACUUUCCAGAGAUGGAUUGGUGCCUUCGGGAACUCUGAGACAGGUGCUGCAUGGCUGUCGUCAGCUCGUGUUGUGAAAUGUUGGGUUAAGUCCCGCAACGAGCGCAACCCUUAUCCUUUGUUGCCAGCGGUUCGGCCGGGAACUCAAAGGAGACUGCCAGUGAUAAACUGGAGGAAGGUGGGGAUGACGUCAAGUCAUCAUGGCCCUUACGAGUAGGGCUACACACGUGCUACAAUGGCGUAUACAAAGAGAAGCGACCUCGCGAGAGCAAGCGGACCUCAUAAAGUACGUCGUAGUCCGGAUUGGAGUCUGCAACUCGACUCCAUGAAGUCGGAAUCGCUAGUAAUCGUAGAUCAGAAUGCUACGGUGAAUACGUUCCCGGGCCUUGUACACACCGCCCGUCACACCAUGGGAGUGGGUUGCAAAAGAAGUAGUAGCUUAACCUUCGGGAGGGCGCUUACCACUUUGUGAUUCAUGACUGGGGUGAAGUCGUAACAA